This 619-nucleotide ribosomal RNA is filed under the name Quambalaria cyanescens. RNAcentral's name for it is "LSU rRNA". It matches the Rfam family "Eukaryotic large subunit ribosomal RNA", at positions 56 to 667 of the family's 3401-position model. The record is from RNAcentral. Lineage: Eukaryota; Fungi; Basidiomycota; Exobasidiomycetes; Microstromatales; Quambalariaceae.
CCGGUCUUCCUGGGUUCCCGUAGUUACGGCGAGUGAAGCGGGAAGAGCUCAAAUUUGAAAGCUGGCACCUUCGGUGUCCGCGUUGUAAUCUCGAGAAGUGUUUUCCGUGCUGGACCAUGUACAAGUUCCUUGGAAUAGGACGUCAUAGAGGGUGAAAAUCCCGUACUUGACAUGGACGCCCAGUGCUUUGUGAUACACUCUCCACGAGUCGAGUUGUUUGGGAAUGCAGCUCAAAAUGGGUGGUAAAUUCCAUCUAAAGCUAAAUAUUGGGGAGAGACCGAUAGCGAACAAGUACCGUGAGGGAAAGAUGAAAAGCACUUUGGAAAGAGAGUUAAACAGUACGUGAAAUUGUCGAAAGGGAAGCGCUUGAAGUUAGACAUGCUUGCCGGGAUUCAGCCUUGCUUUUGCUUGGUGCAUUUCCCGGUGUGCAGGCCAGCAUCAGUUUUGUUUGCCGGAUAAGGGUGAGAGGAAUGUGGCCCCUCGGGGUGUUAUAGCCUCUCACUGGAUACGGCGGAUGGGACUGAGGACCGCAGUGUGCCUUUAUGGCGGGCCUUCGGGCACCUUCACACUUAGGAUGCUGGCGUAAUGGCUUUAAGCGACCCGUCUUGAAACACGGACA